Geobacillus thermodenitrificans NG80-2 is the source of this 127-nucleotide non-coding RNA. Lineage: Bacteria; Bacillati; Bacillota; Bacilli; Caryophanales; Anoxybacillaceae. The record is from Rfam.
AACACCUUUUAAUUAAGUCCAGCGAGGCUUAAAAAGGUGGGAACGAAGCGCAUGGGGCGGAGUCUACCCUCUGCUCCGCCAUGCCUCAAUCGUCACACCUUGCCUUGCCGGCAAGGUGUUUUUUUAU